This 826-nucleotide long non-coding RNA is filed under the name Marmota monax (woodchuck). The record is from RNAcentral. Lineage: Eukaryota; Metazoa; Chordata; Mammalia; Rodentia; Sciuridae.
GUUCCUUGGGAGUGGCGGGAGCCACUCUGCCGGGUGCUGGGAGCCCGGCCCUGUGAAGGGGAGUCUGGUGCCAGGAGCGGUGGGUGGCUCUCUGCCCAGUGCUCACAGGGGACACCGCCUCAUUCCCUGCCAGCCCAAGACGGGGGUGUUUCCUUCUCUCGCCCACAAGGAAGUUGAUCCUUUCUGGGCCCUUCUCCUGGGGCCAGAGCCAAACAAGAUAAGGAGUUUCAAAGUGCUCCCGGGCGGAACCGCCCUCAACAGAAACUGGCAUUUUUCGGAUUAUAAUAGUAAUGCGAGCGCCGCACCAGGUUUGGGAAACUGUACAAAGUUGAAAAAAAAAAUCUUAAAGUUCGCUUAUUUGGAAAGAACGCCCCGGUGUGGGGGAGUGACUCAGGGCAGAGUUACGACCUGUGUGCAAGGCCCUGGGCACCGUCCCCAGCCAGAAAAGAGGAAAUCUUUAGUGCUUUUCUGGGUAUAUAUUUCACAUCAAUGAAAAAAUUUUUUUUUCAAAGGAAAAACUAUAAGAGGAAGAGCAUCAAAAUCCCUGGCCCCCGCCCCUCCCAUCCAGUCCUCUUAAUUGGUAACUUCUUUUUUAUUUGUACUGGGGAUUGAACUCAGGGGCACUCGACCACUGAGCCACAUCCCCAGCCCUAUUUUGUAGUCUCAUUGAGUUGCUUAGGGCCUCACUUUUGCUGAGGCUGGCCUUGAACCUUGGAUCCUCCAGCCUCAGCCUCUGGAGCCGCUGGGAUUAGGGGCGAUCACCUCCGUGCCUGGCUCCCCCUUUUUAAAAUAUUUUAUUUAGUGACAGGGGCUCGCUGAGUUGCUU